This 164-nucleotide small nuclear RNA is filed under the name Erinaceus europaeus (western European hedgehog). Its description in RNAcentral is "U1 spliceosomal RNA". It matches the Rfam family "U1 spliceosomal RNA". From Rfam's summary of the family: U1 is a small nuclear RNA (snRNA) component of the spliceosome (involved in pre-mRNA splicing). Its 5' end forms complementary base pairs with the 5' splice junction, thus defining the 5' donor site of an intron. There are significant differences in sequence and secondary structure between metazoan and yeast U1 snRNAs, the latter being much longer (568 nucleotides as compared to 164 nucleotides in human). Lineage: Eukaryota; Metazoa; Chordata; Mammalia; Eulipotyphla; Erinaceidae. The record is from Rfam by way of RNAcentral.
UCCCUUACCUGGCAGGGGAGAUACCAUGAUCACGAAGGUGGUUUUCCCAGGGCGAGGCUUAUCCAUUGCACUCUGGAUGUGCUGACCCCUGCGAUUUCCCUAAAUGUGGGAAACUCGACUGCAUAAUUUGUGGUAGUGGGGGACUGCGUUCGCGCUCUCCCCUG